Molecule: small RNA, 84 nt
Filed under: Sinorhizobium fredii NGR234
Lineage: Bacteria; Pseudomonadati; Pseudomonadota; Alphaproteobacteria; Hyphomicrobiales; Rhizobiaceae
Description: DsrA
Source: RNAcentral
AACGGCCCGCCUGAACAGGCGGGCCGUUUUCAGUUCAGAGACCGUGACUUAAUUGCCCCUCUCCUCGGGUUUAACCCGAGGACU